GGAAUAAGAUUUUUCAUUAUUGCAUAUCAGGUAUCAAUGUAAUAGUGCAUUCACUCAAGUAUAAUAGGCAUUCAUCCAAAAAAGAAAUGAGCCAAAUAAAAUGAUAAUAACCUCAUUCAUUAAUACCAAAAAGAGAGGUUACAAGAGUCAUAAUGAGCAUAAAGCUCUCAUACAUCCAAUCUACAAAAUAUAACUAAGUAACCUAAUACAAAAUGAUGAAAUCAGUGA
RNAcentral lists this long non-coding RNA (228 nucleotides) under Elaeis guineensis (African oil palm). Its description in RNAcentral is "long non-coding RNA (EGUI_LNC077647)". Lineage: Eukaryota; Viridiplantae; Streptophyta; Magnoliopsida; Arecales; Arecaceae. The record is from RNAcentral.